CCUACGGGUGGCAGCAGUGAGGAAUAUUGGUCAAUGGACGCAAGUCUGAACCAGCCAUGCCGCGUGCAGGAAGACGGCUCUAUGAGUUGUAAACUGCUUUUGUACGAGGGUAAACGCAGAUACGCGUCUCUGUCUGAAAGUAUCGUACGAAUAAGGAUCGGCUAACUCCCUGCCAGCAGCCGCGGUAAUACGGAGGCUUCAAGCGUUGUCCGGAUUUAUUGGGGUUAAAGGGUGCGUAGGCGGUCGGGUAAGUUAGAGGUGAAAACGCGAGGCUCAACUUCGGAAUUGCAUCGGAAACUGUUCGGCUAGAGAGUGGUUGCGGUAGGCGGAAUGUAUGGUGUAGCGGUGAAAUGCUUAGAGAUCAUACAGAACACCGAUUGCGAAGGCAGCUUACCAAGCUACUUCUGACGUUGAGGCACGAAAGCGUGGGGAGCAAACAGGAUUAGAUACCCGAGUAGUC
This 460-nucleotide ribosomal RNA is filed under the name uncultured bacterium. Its description in RNAcentral is "partial 16S ribosomal RNA". It matches the Rfam family "Bacterial small subunit ribosomal RNA", at positions 338 to 795 of the family's 1533-position model. The record is from RNAcentral.